RNAcentral lists this non-coding RNA (22 nucleotides) under Arabidopsis thaliana (thale cress). RNAcentral also lists the same sequence under 3 other names. Lineage: Eukaryota; Viridiplantae; Streptophyta; Magnoliopsida; Brassicales; Brassicaceae. The record is from RNAcentral.
UGAUCCUUCGAUGUCGGCUCUU